GAUGAACGCUGGCGGCGUGCCUAAUACAUGCAAGUCGAGCGAACAGACGAGGAGCUUGCUCCUCUGACGUUAGCGGCGGACGGGUGAGUAACACGUGGAUAACCUACCUAUAAGACUGGGAUAACUUCGGGAAACCGGAGCUAAUACCGUAUAAUAUAUUGAACCGCAUGGUUCAAUAGUGAAAGACGGUUUUGCUGUCACUUAUAGAUGGAUCCGCGCCGCAUUAGCUAGUUGGUAAGGUAACGGCUUACCAAGGCAACGAUGCGUAGCCGACCUGAGAGGGUGAUCGGCCACACUGGAACUGAGACACGGUCCAGACUCCUACGGGAGGCAGCAGUAGGGAAUCUUCCGCAAUGGGCGAAAGCCUGACGGAGCAACGCCGCGUGAGUGAUGAAGGUCUUCGGAGCGUAAAACUCUGUUAUUAGGGAAGAACAAAUGUGUAAGUAACUAUGCACGUCUUGACGGUACCUAAUCAGAAAGCCACGGCUAACUACGUG
This 497-nucleotide ribosomal RNA is filed under the name uncultured bacterium. RNAcentral's name for it is "partial 16S ribosomal RNA". It matches the Rfam family "Bacterial small subunit ribosomal RNA", at positions 28 to 507 of the family's 1533-position model. The record is from RNAcentral.